Molecule: non-coding RNA, 688 nt
Organism: Macaca mulatta (Rhesus monkey)
Lineage: Eukaryota; Metazoa; Chordata; Mammalia; Primates; Cercopithecidae
Source: RefSeq, a predicted model, not a curated record
UUGAGCAAAGCACACUACACCAUUACAUCCAAAUUGUUAGUGGAGGGGUGCCAGGGAGUGAAAGCAGAUUCAGCAAACACAGUUAUCGUGCCAAGAGUAGGCACUCAGUGAGAAAAUGAUGCCAUGUAGACCACUGGGUAACGUGAGAUUCAAGACUAAGUGGGCCAAUGAGAAAGCAAGGAGCAUACUCUAGAGUGCCUGUUCUUCUGGAAGUUUCCACUGAAUUUUUCAGAAGUUAUUACGAUCCCCUGAUGAAUGAGUGGAGAAAUUGUUGAGUUGGCAGCCCAAGUUUACGAAAACAAUCUGUAGCACUGGAACAGUGAAGCUAACUGGCACAUAUGGGCAGUGAAAACAUGGCCAUGGCCUCAUAGCACCAUGUGUUAACAAAUGGAGCUAAGCAGUCAAGUGUGAAGAACUACUUAUGGCCCACCCUAUCCCCCAUCCGGUGCCUAUAAAGGCCUCAGACUCCAUCAGUAGAGAGGUAGAAGUGGCUUGACUGAAGAGAGGCAACUUGACUUCAGAGGGACAAGUUGACUUAAGAGGAGAGAUGGCUUAAUUUCAGAGAAGAGUCAGCUGUAGAUGACCGGACUUCAGGAAAGAUUAUCUGCCUAUUCCAUUCCCUCUUCAGCUCCCCUCUCUGCUGAGAGCCACUUCAAUUACUAAAUAAAAUUCUCUGCCUCCACCAUCA